This 813-nucleotide long non-coding RNA is filed under the name Elaeis guineensis (African oil palm). RNAcentral's name for it is "long non-coding RNA (EGUI_LNC072355)". The record is from RNAcentral. Lineage: Eukaryota; Viridiplantae; Streptophyta; Magnoliopsida; Arecales; Arecaceae.
AUCUAAGGCAUACGCAAUGGUAACCAGGCAGAAGUAUUUCAGAUCCUCCAAGUGAGACGAUCUAAAGCCUGCGGAAGAUGCCUAUUUCUUUUUUUUUAAUGGAGCAGUCUCUCUCCGUGCCUUCGAGGGUUUUGAACGACGGGAAUAAUAAGAAUAUUUCCUCGAGCAUCGAUGCAGCAAGGAGUUCAUCGAUUUCAGUAAAAAAGUAUGAGUUCAGUUCUUCGUUAAGCUGGAGUUCUUCUUCGUCUUUGGCCUAGCUUCUCAUCUCAGGGCGUGGGCGGGUUGGUUGGCUUACAGGGUCGAUGCUUUCAACGAUUAGAUAGGGGGCUCGCGCAUCUACCCAUGAUUCAAAGCAGCCUUUUCCAGACCGUGAUAGACCAAAACAAAAGGCAUUCGAUUGGAUGCGUGAAAACCGCCUAACAUGGAAAUGGCAAAAGGAACAAAACGCACUUUCUCGACCAGUGGAUGAACGAGGCCACCCCCUUUCAUACUGUUGAUAGGGCCAUGGCUUUCCAAACCUCGCUAUUUCAACCCUUAUCUAUAACAUAGAACAAAGCCGCAAAAGCCCUUUGAUAACUGUCCUUCCGAUCUCAAACUUAGACAUAGGCAAGCUAUAAAACUUUGUUUUCCUAACCUGGAUACUCUUUCCGGCUUCUCAAACCUCCAUUUCUCAAUCUCAUUCAAUCAACUUCAUUCUGAAACUUUUCUUUUUAUCUCACGAUACAUUAGACUUUAUUGAGCUGAUAAAGGGCAAAGGCAGGAAGUUUGAUUUCUCCAGGCAAGUUUGUUUUCAAUCCAAUGUAGCUGGCANNN